AAUCCACUCCUUUAAUCCGUAGUACAAACGUGAAGUGAAUCCAGCACGUCAAGUUGCCGACCAGCUAUGAAUUGCUCCAUUCAAGUUUGUGUUGUCAUUGCACUUUUCGUGUUGCUCCAGUUUCAUUCAAGCCACUGCGAAAGCACAGCUAAAGAUGAAAAGAUUCAAUGGAAAGACAAAGGCUAUAUAACCUCAUCAACGAGUAUGGAAUUUAGGGGCUAUAAGUGUAAAACCGACCAAGAUUGCAUAGACUUACUUAAAUGUAAGAAGGCCAAGUGUUCGAAGGAUUUGGGCAUGUGUGAUAGGAUAAAGUCGUCGCCGUGUUAAUAUUAAGAAAAUUGUAUACAAGCAGCUAUAUAUUAUGAAAGCCUGUUUUUAAUUGAAAAACAAUUAAUAAUAUAAGAAUAAGCUUAUGAAGUACUUGAAACAUUAAA
Molecule: long non-coding RNA, 434 nt
Organism: Exaiptasia diaphana
Lineage: Eukaryota; Metazoa; Cnidaria; Anthozoa; Actiniaria; Aiptasiidae
Exons: 3
Source: RefSeq, a predicted model, not a curated record